Molecule: long non-coding RNA, 1371 nt
Organism: Rana temporaria (common frog)
Lineage: Eukaryota; Metazoa; Chordata; Amphibia; Anura; Ranidae
Exons: 4
Source: RefSeq, a predicted model, not a curated record
CUCUCUCUCUCUCUCUCUCUCUCUCUCUCUCUUCUCCUCUCCAAAUCGCAGAGCCGGUGACAUGCCUCCAUCCCACCAAUGUUGAGUGUUGAUCUGAGGAUUUGGCAUGUCAGCCAGUGUCUACACAAGCUUAAGUUUCUAUUAUUACGCAAAGGAUUAUCAGGACAGUAGCCUUGCCACAGAAUUACAGCCAAUCUGCUUGAACACAAGGCUCCUUUUUUUUUUUUCCUCCUCUCUCUCUUUCUCUUUUUUUUUUUUUUUUUGCAUUUAUUGGAAUAUUUAUUUCUAUUUUUUUUUUUUUUUUUUUACUAAAAGUGGAUAACUGGUGGCUUGUACAGCAACGUUGUUUUUAAUUAUUACAAGGGAAGCGUAAAAAAAAAAAAAAAAAAAAAAACCUAAGCAGCUUGAAUGUGUGUCUAUUCUCCCUUUGCCGAGCUGUGGAGGGCUCUGCCAUCUAUCGCACUCACAAGGAUAACAGCAGAUCAGGCGUUCCUACUGUAGCUCUUCUCUCUGGCUCUGCAUCGGUGUCUCUCUCCUGCAUCCUCUGGUUGGAAGUUCUGCAUCCCCCCCCUCCACCCUUACCCUACCCCACCACCCCCACCGUGCCCUAAAUGUGCACGUAGAGGUCUACCGGCUGCACCACAUCCCAAAACCCAUCAAAGGGUUUCAUGGUUUUAAGGGUUUUUUAAAGGGGGGUGAAACCGAAGGGUUGGAUCUGUGGUUGGCUUAUCACCUGCAAACGCUUUGGAUAUACUGUACUGUAUCAGGAGGAAAAAAAACACAGGAUCCACCUCAUCUGGGGCUUUGCUUUGCUGCUGCUUUGCAAUUUCUGUCUGAAAAUUUUCCCACUCGGAAGAGGAGAGGACUUGGAUCUGUCCUCCCGUGCAGGAUGCAGGGCUUAUUUUUAUCCAAGCACCACCGUUCCUUUUGGUAAAAGAGGAUACAUGCAUCCUUUAGCAGGAAACUUUUCCUGAAUUCUUCCGGCUCAUCCCCAUUGGAGGUGUAAGAGGGCAGCCGGGAGGCGGCGGGCACAGCGUGGGCACCCCACAGCAGGAUGUUCUGGGCAGGAUCACCAGAUAAAAUUACAGAAUUGCAUUAUUUGCGGCCGUAUUGAUUCACAUCAACGGAAAAGGUCACUUGAUUCAAUUUUCGGAAGCUGAUGUAUGGUGUCUGCAAUGAGGAUUUGAGGUGGUGUGAGGGGGAACUCCGCUGUGUACAAACAACACCUUCAUAACUAGAGCUUUACCGCCAACAUCGGAUGGCGCUCGGACAUGCAGGGGAUCUUUUCAACCAAGUAACAACGUGAACAAUUACAACGCGGACCAUGGUCUCUGCAAUCCUGGAGAACGCCCCUCAUUAAAUUGGGUGAGU